GGAAAAGUUUCCAUUGGCAGGGUAAGACACUUGCUAUGUGUUAUGUUUUAACAUUUAGGUGUUCGAUUCACCUCUUUUCCG
Molecule: transfer RNA, 81 nt
Filed under: Beauveria caledonica
Lineage: Eukaryota; Fungi; Ascomycota; Sordariomycetes; Hypocreales; Cordycipitaceae
Description: tRNA-Ser
Source: RNAcentral